CGCCGCCGGUUAGUCAGUCUCCUGUUGGCUUGGCCUGGCCAGAGCAACCGAAGCGGCUGUGGUGAAAAGGAACCGGACCAGCAGCGGAGGCAGCAGAAGCAGUCCCCCUCCCUGCCCGAGCUCUCUUUCCUUUCCUUCUCCCGAACCCAAGCAACUAUCCCGGCCAGAGGUCUCCGUGGGAGCCCCUGGCGUGCAGCCCCACGCAUGUGUGCCACGACAUGGACUUUAUGUUGCUGUGGCUGGCCUGGAACUUACUAUGUGGACCAGGCUGACCUCAAAGUCACAAAAAUCCAACUGAGUAUUGGGAUUAAAGGUUAAGAAGCACCUGUGAUGAAUGCUUUCAGCUGCUGCUCCAGCAUCUGCUGGAGCCUGUCUCCUUCCCAUCACGAUGAUCACGGACUAACCCUCUGAAACAGUGAGCAAGCCCCCAAGUAAAUGCUUUAUUUUUAU
RNAcentral lists this long non-coding RNA (450 nucleotides) under Rattus norvegicus (Norway rat). Its description in RNAcentral is "long non-coding RNA NONRATT024165". Lineage: Eukaryota; Metazoa; Chordata; Mammalia; Rodentia; Muridae. The record is from RNAcentral.